UUGGAAGCAGCCAUUCAUUUAAAGAGUGCGUAACAGCUCACUAGUCGAGGAGUUUGGCGUGGAUAAUAAUCGGGUAUCAAGCUGUUUACCGAAGCAGUGGGAUCAUAUAAUGAUCGGUAGGGGAGCAUUCCACUCUGCGUCGAAGGUGGGGCGUGAGCCCUGCUGGAGCGUGUGGAAAAGCAAAUGUAGGUAUAAGUAACGAUAAAGGGGGUGAGAAACCCCCUCGCCGAAAGACUAAGGUUUCCUGAUCAACGCUAAUCGGAUCAGGGUCAGUCGGGUCCUAAGGCUCAGCCGAACGGCGAGGCCGAUGGCAGAACCGGUUAAUAUUCCGGUACUACCCUUUAGGGUGACGUGGAGACGCAGUCGUGACAAUGCCGCCAGCUGACGGAAUAGCUGGUUAAAGGGUGUAGAAGUUGAUUGUGGCAGGCAAAUCCACCACAAGAUUCGAACCUGACAGUAUGGAGCGUCCUUCCGGACAAUCCAACAGUGCAUGUAAUCAUACUGCCAAGAAAAUCCGCUAAACAUAACCUUCAGGGUACCCGUACCGCAAACGGACACACGUAGUCGGGUUGAAUAUACUAAGGCGCUUGAGUGAUUCACGGUUAAGGAACUAGGCAAAUUAACCCUGUAACUUCGGGAAAAAGGGUCCCUACCCGUUAGCGGGAGGGCGCAGAGAAUCGGUCCAGGCAACUGUUUAACAAAAACACAGGGCUGUGCGAAGUCGAAAGACGCUGUAUACAGCCUGACACCUGCCCGGUGCUGGAAGGUUAAGAGGAGAUGUCAUCGCAAGAGAAGCAUUGAAUUGAAGCCCCAGUAAACGGCGGCCGUAACUAUAACGGUCCUAAGGUAGCGAAAUUCCUUGUCGGGUAAGUUCCGACCUGCACGAAUGGUGUAAUGAUCUGGACACUGUCUCAACCGUGAGCUCAGUGAAAUUGUAGUAUCGGUGAAGAUGCCGAUUACCCGCGAUGGGACGAAAAGACCCCGUGAACCUUUACUAUAGCUUAUCAUUGAAUCUGGGCACGUGAUGUGUAGGAUAGGUCGGAGGCUUUGAAGCAGGUACGCCAGUAUUUGUGGAGCCGCUGUUGAAAUACGACCCUUUAUUUGUUUGGAUUCUAACCCGUGGAACGGGGACAUUGAUUGGUGGGUAGUUUGACUGGGGUGGUCGCCUCCAAAAGCGUAACGGAGGCUUCUAAAGGUGCCCUCCGGCCGAUUGGUAACCGGCCUUAGAGUGUAAUGGCAUAAGGGCGCUUGACUGGGAGACUGACAAGUCGAUCAGGUAGGAAACUAGAGCAUAGUGAUCCGGUGUUUCCGUAUGGAAGGGACAUCGCUCAAAGGAUAAAAGGUACUCCGGGGAUAACAGGCUGAUC
Molecule: ribosomal RNA, 1367 nt
Filed under: human gut metagenome
Description: bacterial LSU rRNA
Rfam family: Bacterial large subunit ribosomal RNA
Source: RNAcentral